UAUGCUGGGGUGUAGAAAGGAAAGCAUGAUAGAAAUUCAUGAUCUGGUAUUUAUUUUCUUGGCUUUAUGCAAGUUAAACCUAAUAUUUCUAUUGACACAGUA
Molecule: small nucleolar RNA, 102 nt
Filed under: Chinchilla lanigera (long-tailed chinchilla)
Lineage: Eukaryota; Metazoa; Chordata; Mammalia; Rodentia; Chinchillidae
Description: Small nucleolar RNA SNORA8 (ENSCLAG00000018656.1)
Rfam family: Small nucleolar RNA SNORA8
About the family: ACA8 is a member of the H/ACA class of snoRNA that guide the sites of modification of uridines to pseudouridines.
Source: Rfam by way of RNAcentral